This 76-nucleotide microRNA precursor is filed under the name Cricetulus griseus (Chinese hamster). Its description in RNAcentral is "miRNA (ENSCGRG00001008842.1)". The record is from RNAcentral. Lineage: Eukaryota; Metazoa; Chordata; Mammalia; Rodentia; Cricetidae.
AUUCUUGAGCCGGGCAGUGGUGGCACACACCUUUAAUCCCAGCACUUGGGAGGCAGAGGCAGGUGGAUCUCUGUCA